Molecule: ribosomal RNA, 516 nt
Filed under: uncultured bacterium
Lineage: Bacteria
Description: bacterial SSU rRNA
Rfam family: Bacterial small subunit ribosomal RNA
Source: RNAcentral
GAGAGGGGGAUCCCCCACGCUGGUACUGAGACACGGACCAGACUCCUACGGGAGGCAGCAGUGAGGAAUAUUGGACAAUGGGCGCAAGCCUGAUCCAGCCAUGCCGCGUGCAGGAAGACUGCCCUAUGGGUUGUAAACUGCUUUUAUACAGGAAGAAACACUCCCUCGUGAGGGAGCUUGACGGUACUGUAAGAAUAAGGAUCGGCUAACUCCGUGCCAGCAGCCGCGGUAAUACGGAGGAUCCAAGCGUUAUCCGGGAAUCAUUGGGUUUAAAGGGUCCGUAGGUGGAUAAAUUAAGUCAGAGGUGAAAUCCUGCAGCUCAACUGUAGAAUUGCCUUUGAAACUGGUUAUCUUGAGUUAUUAUGAAGUAGUUAGAAUAUGUAGUGUAGCGGGUGAAAUGCAUAGAUAUUACAUAGAAUACCAAUUUGCGAAGGCAGAUUACUAAUAAUAUACUGACACUGAUGGACGAAAGCGUGGGGAGCGAACGGGAUUAGAUACCCCGGUAGUCCACGCCGU